UGCCUAAUACAUGCAAGUCGAACGAGGGGUCUUUUCGUAAGAGGAGACAUUCCGAGUGGCGAACGGGUGAGGAACACGUAGACGACCUGCCCUGAAGAGGGGGAUAACGUUCCGAAAGGGAUGCUAAUACCCCAUAAGCUCACGGCGAUUAGAAGGCUGUGAGAAAAGGGAGCAACUCGCUUCAGGAGGGGUCUGCGGUCCAUCAGGUAGUUGGCGGGGUAACGGCCCACCAAGCCGAAGACGGAUAGGGGGCCUGAGAGGGUGGUCCCCCACACGGGCACUGAGAGACGGGCCCGACUCCUACGGGAGGCAGCAGUAAGGGAUAUUGCGCAAUGGGCGAAAGCCUGACGCAGCAACGCCGCGUGCCCGAUGAAGGCCUUCGGGUCGUAAAGGGC
This 395-nucleotide ribosomal RNA is filed under the name uncultured organism. RNAcentral's name for it is "bacterial SSU rRNA". It matches the Rfam family "Bacterial small subunit ribosomal RNA", at positions 45 to 433 of the family's 1533-position model. The record is from RNAcentral.